Molecule: long non-coding RNA, 434 nt
Filed under: Vigna radiata
Lineage: Eukaryota; Viridiplantae; Streptophyta; Magnoliopsida; Fabales; Fabaceae
Description: long non-coding RNA (VRAD_LNC010716)
Source: RNAcentral
UUGGUACGUUUUAACAAUGUGUACCGGAUUAUAGUAGACAAAAAUACCCUCAUUUGUCAUGGAUUCUAAGUUUUAAGGUUAAGGAUAUUUAAAUAAUUUUCAUUCUCAAAACUAUAAAAAAAACCAAACCCUUACUCACCUCUCUCAUUCCUCACAACCCUUUCUCUUUCAUCUCUCUCCCUCUAACAUUUUCUCUGUCAUCCCUACUGUUGCCCCAAUUGAAAAAAAAAAAAAGAAAUUCAGAAACCCUUGUCUAACCCUAAUCCACCUUCCUCACUUAUCCAAUUUUUUUCUCCCUUAUCUCCAUACUCUCCCUCAGCCACACACAAUAAUCCGUGACAUCGUAAUUUGUUGCUCUUGCUCUGUUCUUUCAUUUGGAGGAUGUGUUAUAUAUUUUCCCUUCUUAUUAUUAAAUUAAAUCAUGUAAAUAAAAC